This is an unclassified non-coding RNA of Callithrix jacchus (white-tufted-ear marmoset), 148 nucleotides long. It matches the Rfam family "Metazoan signal recognition particle RNA". Rfam says of the family: The signal recognition particle (SRP) is a universally conserved ribonucleoprotein. It is involved in the co-translational targeting of proteins to membranes. The eukaryotic SRP consists of a 300-nucleotide 7S RNA and six proteins: SRPs 72, 68, 54, 19, 14, and 9. The record is from Ensembl. NCBI's taxonomy places the organism in Eukaryota, Metazoa, Chordata, Mammalia, Primates, Cebidae.
GCUGGGCAUGGUGGCGCGUGCCUGUAAUCCCAGCUACUUGGGAGGCUAAGGCAGGAGAAUUGCUUGAACCCAGGAGGUGGAGGUUGCAAUGAGCCGAGAUCGUGCCACUACAUUCCAGCCUGGGUGACAGAGCAAGACUCUGUCUAGA